Molecule: ribosomal RNA, 393 nt
Filed under: uncultured bacterium
Lineage: Bacteria
Description: partial 16S ribosomal RNA
Rfam family: Bacterial small subunit ribosomal RNA
Source: RNAcentral
AUACGGAAGGUCCGGGCGUUAUCCGGAUUUAUUGGGUUUAAAGGGAGCGCAGGCGGAGAUGCAAGCGUGACGUCAAAUUUCGGGGCUCAACCCCGUCUCGCGUCGCGAACUGCGUCCCUUGGUUGCGGGAAGGGGAGGCGGAACUCGUGGUGUAGCGGGGAAAUGCAUUGAUAUCACGAAGAACUCCGAUCGCGAAGGCAGCCUUCCGGCCCGUCAACGACGCUCAUGCUCGAAGGUGCGGGUAUCAAACAGGAUUAGAUACCCUGGUAGUCCGCACAGUAAACGAUGGACACCCGCGGUUUGGCCUGUAUGGCUGAGCCGCCAAGCGAAAGCGUUAAGUGUCCCACCUGGGGAGUACGCCGGCAACGGUGAAACUCAAAGGAAUUGACGGGG